This is an RNA transcript of Rhipicephalus microplus (southern cattle tick), 2083 nucleotides long. RefSeq lists it as uncharacterized. NCBI's taxonomy places the organism in Eukaryota, Metazoa, Arthropoda, Arachnida, Ixodida, Ixodidae. The record is from RefSeq and is a predicted model, not a curated record.
UCAUGGCGGCUUCCGAGUUUGUCGUUGAACCAGCGCGAAGUUCAAGCUACGUGCUUAUUUGCGGCAAGCACUCUUCCUCGCAAUAAAUCUGCUCUUCAGUGACGACAGUGAUGAACACAAACGUUCACAGGUUCAUAGAGCACCUCGUGUCAAGGACGGAAAGAACUCCAAGACAACCCCAUUAAGAUGCACAUCACAAGAAUUCACCACUGAAGAUUAAAUUGGACCAAACAUGUCAGCAGCAAAAACAACAUUGUAAACCAAACCAAGGUAUCAAACAUGACGAGUAGGACGCCUGGGUGCCCUUUGAAUUCCAAGUUUUCUGGUGUUGUCUUACAAGGUUUCCGAAAUACAGUGUGCUGCGUUCUGCCAGGGAACGUGCUGUUCGAAGAAGUAGUUGGAGGGCUACGGACGGUGACCACCUCUGUUCCAUUCAGUUUGAAGAACGCUGCUUCGACACAACUGGGCAGAAUAUCACACUGCUGUCUGGCAGUGCACCUUCGAUUUUUCCUGCUUUCCGAGCGCAUCUGCAAAAACCUGUUAGUUUCUACUUCCUUGACGUAGCUUCAAUAGAAUGUAGUGACGAAAAUAAGCAAUUGCAUCUAAAAGAAAAUAAGACACCUUUGAAAUUCAUUCUAUCUUGCCGACGAAACCAAAACCAAAACACCGAUAGACCAAGUUGUCGAAAUGAGUGAGUGGAGUUAUAUCAAACAUCGUGAUACCUCGUUUCUAGGCUUUGAAUGCUGCGCUUGCCAUGACAACACACGUCGCCAACUGAAGUUGACGAAUAUUAUUUAGAACUAACGCCACUGCGAUCGUUCUUAUGAUCGGUUUAUUUGGGGUACGUCUCCUGGAGUUGGUCGGUUGCACGCGACAACGAUCGGUGCUUUGGUUUGGUUCCGCCUGUAACUUGGUUAGAAUUCGAUAACUCUAGAAAAAUUACUGGUGACUCUCAGUUUAUCUAAUUACCUCUCUUUUCCAGCUUUAGCUUUAAUUAUUUGAACUUCCUUAUAUAUUCUCUAAAAAUCAGCUGACACACACAAGCGCAUACAUAAAAGAGGCGAGCAAAUGUCGCGUUCCCCUUGAUCUUGAGUAUCUGCAGGCACAUUUCUUAAAACACCCAAUAUAUACUAAAACCUUUUUGUACCGCAAUAGUGCGCCAGCAAGCUCGAUAUGCGAAGCAUUCCUUGACCAUACACAUUAAUCUGAAAGCGUGCAGCUGACAAUGGGUGCAUGAAAUAAUUUGUUUCAUAAACAGGAAUAGCCAUUUAUUCGUUGGUGUAACUUAAAAAUGGUUUUUAUCUCAUUUUUUUAUCGUGGAACUGCAAAUCAAGGCGCACAACGUGCGUAUUCCAUUGCAGUCUAAGGCGGUUUCGCCCUGUUUUUCCUCUAGCAAUUUGGCUGCUGGCGGCUUAAUUCAUUUUCUCUCGUUGGCGGCGGCCGGGACUGCCACUCCAGACGUUCUAUAAGACCACCUUGCUUCACAACGAGUGACAUCAUUUAUGUGAAUGGUGCUGUACCUGUUGUGCCCUAACGCUCUCGAGUCUUGAACAAAUAUUCUGGUGAGCGCUAACCUUUAAAUGGCACAAAAACGAGUCAACGCAUGCACGCACCGCACAUUAAAGCGCUUUGGCGGCUGCAGCGAUGAGGGUUAGUUGUAGCGCCAUAUCGUGCUGCGGCACUUUUGAGAACUAAAAAAGUUAAACAAGCAAACCUGGCGACAUGUGGAGUGGUGGCAUGAGCCGGUCAUAAGUUUAUAAAGCAGGUUGUGGCCCGGACUAAGGAGCCCACUCCUUCCUCGGUCGCAAAUAAAUGUUUUAUUCUCUCUCUCACCAUCGCCGCUCGCAAGACUAGCAAGGAUGUGCUCGGGCGCCCAAUCUGUGUGUGCGUUUAUUUACAUUUAAACGGGUGGGAAACAUUAAAUACAUACCUGCAACAUAUCUCAGCCACUGGCGCUUCUUCUGUGCUUGCUACAAAACAUGCGAAUGGGGCAUGCUCACGGAUGAAGUAAAAAACUUGGGAGAGGCUCUGCCCAGCCAACCAUGUAAUGUCCAGUAGACAUCAAAUAAAUAUCGACCAUAUG